Molecule: long non-coding RNA, 5187 nt
Organism: Anas platyrhynchos (mallard)
Lineage: Eukaryota; Metazoa; Chordata; Aves; Anseriformes; Anatidae
Source: RefSeq, a predicted model, not a curated record
CAUAAGCUAAUCAGCAAUUAAAUAAAGCUGCUUGGAAUUAACAUCCCCGAGAGACAGGAGAGCAAAGAGAGCAAGCUAAAGCUGUUCAGCCUGGAAAAUCCACAGCCUAGACUUUAGGUUUAGGCUAACCCGAAUAUAAGGCAUGCUCUUACCAUGAUGAGAUUGGAGCCUCGCUAAGAUCUAAGCAAAACAGCUGCUGCCCCUGCCUCUCCCUGCAACUUUAUAGCCCAGGAAGGCUUGACUCCACCUGAAUAUAAAGAAGCUUUCUGCUAGCUUAAAGGAGCAGAGCUCCUUUUUCCCCCGUGCAUCCCCAGAAAUAGCAAGGGAGAAAAGGGUCUCGUGGAGCCUGGCUGGUGCAAAUUUGGGGAUUGAACAGCCUGGGGUACAGGGCAAGGAGACAUCUGUUUCCCAAGGAGAAUGGUGAAAAUGGGGAACUCUGGAAGUUUUGAGUGUGAAAUCUUCAUUUGUUGGCUGUCACCCGAGCUCCGCGUGACUCCGGGUCGAAAUUUGGGGCGGCUGAUUUCUUCUCUCUUGGGAAACUGGAAAGCAAAGGGGAGGAGUGCUGUAGGUGGUGACACGAUGACAGAGACAACCUGCCUGUGAUUUCGGCUCCGGGACGUAUUUAGAACAGCAUCGAGGAGAAGGACAGGGAGCAACCCCCCAGAGGACCCACUGCGGCAGCUCCCGGCCUUUUUAUAGCCAGACCUCACAGCUGCUGCCUCCUUUUUCCCACUCCAGCAUCCUAAAUAUUGCCUCCUGGCUCUGCCUGGUCCUCCUGUUGCCGUCCCCACCAUGCACCAGCUGCUCUAAGCCUCCACGGGGCAAAUCCGUCCCCAAAACUCGCCGAAUGAGUGUCCUCGGGCGGAGGGGAGAGCUGGUUUGUGACCACGCUCCGGGCAAGCACUUGGAUCAUCGGGCUGCUGGGGAAGAGAAAACCCUGCUAUCAAAAGGGUUUGGCCCUGGGAAGAGAAAAUAUUUAGUUUCAGCCAAUAUUAAUUGUUGGUGUUGCUCUAACAGGAAAAAGUGGGGGAAAAAAGCUCUAAUUUUGCUUCAGGCUGAGCCAAAUGCAGGUUUUUGGGGGUGUUUUUGGUUAAUUAACUGAACUGAAAAAAACAGUGAUUUACGUAGCUCCCAAAUCCACCAUUUUAGGAGUAACUUGCUCCCGUCUUUAAUUGCUCGCCCAGUUAAAUUCGCUGCCUCUUUCACACGUGAAUUUCCCUAGCAUCAGCUUUCAGCCACUGGCUCUCCUCCUGCCUUUUUCUGGGGAGCGAAGGCGGCCAACUUUCCACCCCCUCGUCCCCCCUGAAGGCAUUUGUUGUCUUUUCAAGUGAAUCUCGUGCUGGCUGAAUAUGCAGAACGACAAUCCUAAAGCUCUCCAUCCUCUGCGUUAACCUGAACCACCGGAUCCCGUUCCCCAGAAGGUCUCCAUCUGUCCCCAUUGUCCUCCAGGGACGUAAAACCCCAACCAACAUUAAUGGGAACACCCCAGAGCCCUGGACAAACCUGGUCUCAUCCCCUAUUUUAGGCUUGCUGGGGCUGCUGCUCAAGUGCUGCUCCUGACGUUGGUUGUCCUUUAUCACCACUCAGGGAGGCCCCAGCCCCAGCUCCGGCAUCUGUUACUGAUAACCAGAGAUGAUUUAUCCAGGCGCUAGCCCGGCUAUCUCCAGCGUAUGCCUGCGUGUGCUUCUGUCCAUGCAGAGUUUGCUUUUUAUCCUGCUGCUUCCCCAUUUUGUGUGUCCGAAGGAUACAAGGAGGGACGACUCCACUUGGUUAGGACAAAUCCACUUACGUGGUUUCCUACCCCUCCUUCCUUGGCUCCUGCAAACACCUCCUUGCAAGACAAGUGCAGCAAUUUUGGAUGCAGGGGGAUCCGGUAUACUCAAAAAAAUAUAAAAUAAAAAAUCAGUUAAUCUAUCCCAAAAAUAAAUGAUCAAUACACCCCUGUCAACAGAAGCAUUCAGCAUCAGUAGGAACUCGCAGCAUCCUCCGCCGCAAUGCAAAAAGUUUCCAGCAAAAAGUGGUUAAAACCGAAAGCCUCCGUCGCGAGGCUAUCAGGUUGGGAUGUUUUGACAUUCCAGCUUCUCCCCUCCCCUCUCCCCUCGCUCUCCUUUCCAAAUAAAACCCUGGCAGACCCGUCCCCAAUUGGAGUGGAACCGCAUAUUUCGGCAGCGCGCCCUUCCAGCAGAAUUCCCCCAUCCAGGCUCUGCCUCGAAGCCCUUCCCGUAACCGAGGGUGGAGAAAGCACCUUCUCUGGAUCUGUGUCUGCACAGCUGUGCUUCUACUCUGCCUCCCCGAAAGCAGAUAGCAACCAGCUGCGGGGCAGGGGCUUCGUCGUGGUGGGGUUAGGCUGUAGCAAGAGCCCACGAGGAUGGAUUUUUAUUCAUUCUCCAGUUGCAAAGGGUUAUUUCUACUCUUCUUCCUUUAAUUAGCUUCAAAGUAACGAGGUAAAUGCUUUAAGGAAAAGCUUUCUGCUCAAGUAACUUGGAGAGAGAUGGAUUUUUAUUCUUGAAUGGGUUUCAGAGUGGCUGUGAUGUGUCAGGCAAAGGUCUGCCUCCCGGUGCCCUGCUCCCAGCCAUGGCCGUGAGCAGCUGCUUAGAGAAGGGUAAAGGGCAGGGGAAAUGGAUAUAACAUCCCCUGAAGUCUCUCCGCUGAUAUUUUAUUCAGCUCGGGGACUUUCUGAACUGGCGUGUGGUUUCCACACGCUCCGUAGCACUCAAUGAGUUUCCCUGCCACGAGUUUGUCUCGUGCCCUUGAACGUUGGCCAACCUUAGCGUCAGCUCCCGGGCACUUUUCCUUUCAAUUUGUUCAGCAGGACUCCGAGUGACCGGCCUCCUGCACUUCCCUCUCCGUCCAGCUGAAGCCAUCCCAGCCCUCGAGCACGUGUGUUUGUGUGCACAUUCCUCGCAGAAAGGCAAGUGGCAGAGCUGUGUCUUUUCCUCUGCCAGCGAUGUGACUUUAUCUAGCUCUGCGACGGAUCCCCGCAGCUCUUUGCUCCCUUAGUAGCUGAUCCUACCUCCAGUCUUUUAAGUUUUAAUUUUAAAACAAAAGAAACUGAGCCAGCCUCUCUCCAUCAUUCCCUGCUCCCCAGGAAACUGCCCUGUGCUGCAUUUCAGCGUGGAUUCGAAUCUUUAUUGACCCACUUCUGUGUGAGGCACCUUUAUUUCCCACCCCUCUGCAUAUGGGAAGCAUCGAGAGCAAAGCUGGGGUAAAAAAAAAUCCUUGUCAAUCUCACAAGCAGUCUAAAAACUCCCCCUUAAUGCUUCCCUCCGUGUUUGAUUUCGGAGGUACCAACGCUGCCGUCGGUGGAGCUGAAAGCUGAAGCUUUGCAGCAAGCGUUUGGGAAGAAUUGCAUUUCAGUGCAGAUCAUUUAAUUGGUAUUAUUGGGAUUAAUUUGAAGAUUCAGUGUACAGAGAUCUGUUCCGUGCUGGAAAAGAUGGGUAGACACAUUUGACUGUCUGGGAUGUUCUUGGCAGCAGUGGGAUGUUCUCGUUUCUGCACGUUAUCCUUCUAGAAAAAGGAUAGGGAGCUGCUGAAAAUAAAAUCACAGCAGCAUCAAAAGGACAUCGUAAAGCUAGAGACCUGUUUCCCUGCUGUGCUCAGCUGUGCGGAGAAGUUUUGGGCAAGAGCCCUUCCCAUGUCACAACGCUCACCCAUGACUGACGUUUCGGAUUGCUUGCAGCUCGCGGGGUUUUUUCUACCGGCCCUAAAGCUCUGAGAAGGAUAAAUGCUGUCAUUGAGCCUAUGUAAACAAGGAGUUUGAAGAUGUAAGAACAAAACUCUUCUUCCUUCAUCUGCCGAGAGAUGGAACGCGUUGGAAAAACACACGCGAAGGCUGCGCUGUUAUUAAAACUUGCCUUUUUUUACCUUGCUCAGCUCUUGGGCUGAGACAAAACCCAAACGAGGCCCAACCAUAACACCUGGAGAAGGUGCAAGGAGGGAGGAUGGCAGAGCAGAGCGCCGUGGAUUAUCCAAACUAAUUUGCUUAAUUUUCUCCUAAAAGGAAUGAAUUCUGCGUGGUGCACAGCAGUUGGGAAAUGCAUCACUCCAGGCUCACAGCAGCAGCUCGGCCAGCUAGGAUCUCUCUUAAGCCUCACCUGAAGAGCUCUGAAACCUUCCACAAGUUGCCUGUGUCCCUUGGCAGAGUUCCCGUUGUGACCGUGAACCCCAAAUAUUACCUAGCUUAAUGCUCGCUGACUACCUGGAAUGCGAGGGCAAUUUUCAUGGCGUUUCAUGGUGUUAUUUUCUAGGUUUUUCAAGAAAAUAGAUUUUUUUUUGUAUUAUUUUUUUUAACGGCUCUGAAUACUGAUGGUGACACACACCCUAAUCAUGUGCAAUUUAUGGCCGAAGGUUUUAUGGCACCAUAAACGUCUAAGCCGCCUCGGAUCCUCCAGAUGACUACUUUCAAAGUAGUGUAAGUGCUUCGACGAGCAACGUUGCCAAGUGCAUAAAAUUCGGCAGCACAACUCGACGCUUUGAAUCCUGAAAGAGAUCGGUGUCAAUGAAGCGUGCUUUAAUCUUCGCCUAAUUAAGUCGGCUUGUUUAAGAACCACAAGUCCUUAAUGCAUGUGUUACUAAUUCCCUCUCUAAUCCAAAAAAGAAAGAAAAAAAAAGAAAUCUUUCCAAAAGGGCACAGUCCUAACAAGCCAGACUCUCCAUUUAGGUCAGCGGAGUCUCCACUCCUCCUUGCUGAGAGCUGGGGAGAGAAAACCUUGCAGGCUAAAGCCCUCCUUUGAGCAAAAUCUUUUCUGGCCAAGAAGACGAGAAGCAAAAGCUCAAAUCUCAGAUUUCUCCUGGAGCACCACCAGCUCCUGGAAAUGCAGUGAAACCCUUUUGUAACCCCUGGCAGCACUCGCUAGCAGGUGGAUGCUGCAGCAUCAGUGGGACUCUCAGCACUUGUGAGACCCCAUGGAUAUCGUGUGGGCACAAUCUUCAGCCCUAAUUUGUCGUUGACAAGCACUGAUUUAAUCGUUGGUGGAGUAAACUGCCUCAGACACCACCAGGGACUUGGCCAUAAAGUCAGGACGCUCCUGAGAGGCAGGAGAGAGACUGGUUGUACCAAGCAGUGUUGGGCUUAAUGCCUGCCUUUGAGAUAAUAUUGUUAUAUACCACACUAAAUCCACUUACACUUAUUAAAAUACCAAGCUCUGAUGAGCGCAUAAAUGCACAAGGAGCAGUUAUCAGGGCUCU